GGCCCAAAUUGGAAGUAGAGUAGAUUGUAAGGAUUAUUUCACCCUACCAAACUACUCUACUUCGAGUUUGUGCCC
Molecule: non-coding RNA, 75 nt
Organism: Haemonchus contortus (barber pole worm)
Lineage: Eukaryota; Metazoa; Nematoda; Chromadorea; Rhabditida; Trichostrongylidae
Source: Rfam